This 468-nucleotide ribosomal RNA is filed under the name uncultured bacterium. Its description in RNAcentral is "partial 16S ribosomal RNA". It matches the Rfam family "Bacterial small subunit ribosomal RNA", at positions 28 to 507 of the family's 1533-position model. The record is from RNAcentral.
GACGAACGCUGGCGGCGUGCUUAACACAUGCAAGUCGAACGGAAAGGCCCUGCUUUUGUGGGUUGCUCGAGUGGCGAACGGGUGAGUAACACGUGAGUAACCUGCCCUUGACUUUGGGAUAACUUCAGGAAACUGGGGCUAAUACCGGUUAGGAGCUCCUGCUGCAUGGUGGGGGUUGGAAAGUUUCGGCGGUUGGGGAUGGACUCGCGGCUUAUCAGCUUGUUGGUGGGGUAGUGGCUUACCAAGGCUUUGACGGGUAGCCGGCCUGAGCGGGUGACCGGCCACAUUGGGACUGAGAUACGGCCCAGACUCCUACGGGAGGCAGCAGUGGGGAAUAUUGCACAAUGGGCGGAAGCCUGAUGCAGCAACGCCGCGUGCGGGAUAACGGCCUUCGGGUUGUAAACCGCUUUCGCCUGUGACGAAGCGUGAGUGACGGUAAUGGGUAAAGAAGCACCGGCUAACUACGUG